AGUAAGGAAUAUUGGUCAAUGGACGCAAGUCUGAACCAGCCAUGCCGCGUGAAGGAUGAAGGUCCUCUGGAUUGUAAACUUCUUUUAUCUGGGACGAAAACGGGAUUUUUAUCUCAAUUGACGGUACCAGAGGAAUAAGCACCGGCUAACUCCGUGCCAGCAGCCGCGGUAAUACGGAGGGUGCGAGCGUUGUCCGGAUUUACUGGGUUUAAAGGGUGCGUAGGUGGGCUUAUAAGUCAGUGGUGAAAUCUCCGAGCUUAACUUGGAAACUGCCGUUGAUACUAUAGGUCUUGAAUUAUCUGGAGGUAAGCGGAAUAUGUCAUGUAGCGGUGAAAUGCUUAGAUAUGACAUAGAACACCAAUUGCGAAGGCAGCUUACUACAUAUAAAUUGACGCUGAGGCACGAAAGCGUGGGGAUCAAACA
This 423-nucleotide ribosomal RNA is filed under the name uncultured bacterium. Its description in RNAcentral is "bacterial SSU rRNA". It matches the Rfam family "Bacterial small subunit ribosomal RNA", at positions 353 to 774 of the family's 1533-position model. The record is from RNAcentral.